Molecule: ribosomal RNA, 634 nt
Filed under: Pseudomonas sp. P1
Lineage: Bacteria; Pseudomonadati; Pseudomonadota; Gammaproteobacteria; Pseudomonadales; Pseudomonadaceae
Description: bacterial SSU rRNA
Rfam family: Bacterial small subunit ribosomal RNA
Source: RNAcentral
AGAGUUUGAUCCUGGCUCAGGUUGAACGCUGGCGGCAGGCCUAACACAUGCAAGUCGAGCGGUAGAGAGAAGCUUGCUUCUCUUGAGAGCGGCGGACGGGUGAGUAAUACCUAGGAAUCUGCCUGAUAGUGGGGGAUAACGUUCGGAAACGGACGCUAAUACCGCAUACGUCCUACGGGAGAAAGCAGGGGACCUUCGGGCCUUGCGCUAUCAGAUGAGCCUAGGUCGGAUUAGCUAGUUGGUGAGGUAAUGGCUCACCAAGGCUACGAUCCGUAACUGGUCUGAGAGGAUGAUCAGUCACACUGGAACUGAGACACGGUCCAGACUCCUACGGGAGGCAGCAGUGGGGAAUAUUGGACAAUGGGCGAAAGCCUGAUCCAGCCAUGCCGCGUGUGUGAAGAAGGUCUUCGGAUUGUAAAGCACUUUAAGUUGGGAGGAAGGGCAUUAACCUAAUACGUUAGUGUUUUGACGUUACCGACAGAAUAAGCACCGGCUAACUCUGUGCCAGCAGCCGCGGUAAUACAGAGGGUGCGAGCGUUAAUCGGAAUUACUGGGCGUAAAGCGCGCGUAGGUGGUUUGUUAAGUUGAAUGUGAAAUCCCCGGGCUCAACCUGGGAACUGCAUCCAAAACUGGC